CGUAGAAUAGCUAGGUCAAAUAGUGGUUCCAGUUUUCUAAGGAAUCUCCAUACUGCUUUCCAGAGUGGUUGCACCAAUAUUCAUUCCCACCAGCAAU
Molecule: microRNA precursor, 97 nt
Filed under: Marmota monax (woodchuck)
Lineage: Eukaryota; Metazoa; Chordata; Mammalia; Rodentia; Sciuridae
Source: RNAcentral